Molecule: ribosomal RNA, 409 nt
Filed under: uncultured soil bacterium
Lineage: Bacteria
Description: bacterial SSU rRNA
Rfam family: Bacterial small subunit ribosomal RNA
Source: RNAcentral
AGAUUGAACGCUGGCGGCAGGCCUAACACAUGCAAGUCGAGCGGCAGCACGGGUACUUGUACCUGGUGGCGAGCGGCGGACGGGUGAGUAAUGCCUAGGAAUCUGCCUGGUAGUGGGGGAUAACGCUCGGAAACGGACGCUAAUACCGCAUACGUCCUACGGGAGAAAGCAGGGGACCUUCGGGCCUUGCGCUAUCAGAUGAGCCUAGGUCGGAUUAGCUAGUUGGUGGGGUAAUGGCUCACCAAGGCGACGAUCCGUAACUGGUCUGAGAGGAUGAUCAGUCACACGUGGAACUGAGACACGGUCCAGACUCCGUACGGGAGGCAGCAGGUGGGAAUAUUGGACAAGUGGGACGAAAGCCUGACUCCAGCAGUCGCCGCGUGUGUAGAAGAGGUCCGUUAGGUGUAAA